GAACGCCGAGACGCAAGCGCUGUACCCUUGCCGCUGAGGUCAGUGGCUUUCCGGGCGCAAGCACCGAGUGAAGUGCGGUAAAAUCAGCUGACGACUCCGGGCAGGCUCGUUUUAGGACCAGAUGUCUGCGGCCUAGAGAGGGCAGUCAGUGAUUGCCAGCUAAAAUACAGGACGCCGGUUAAAUUCGAAUUUCAAAUAAACAACGAAUUAUUUUUUAGCUGUCCCAGCUCUGGCCACCAACACACAGAGGACACAACAAGGAUGGACUUGGCUAAUGCUGGAGGACAUUUGGAGUGGAAUAAGGCUGUGUGGACUGGGGAAGGAAGAUCGUGCUGCAAGAGUUCUCCUGGUGGGAAGAUGCGCAACCUUUCUCCUCACCCAGGAGUUGCAAAGAUCCCUUGCUGACAGCAAAACCAGCGCACCUCAGCUUUUCCUGAACAGGUGGAGCAGACGCUGCAGCUGGAAGGAGAGUGUGUUGGCCCAGGGCCAGAAAGAAACCCUCCAGUUGUGCUGCCUGCUUGGAAGAGGGAUGGGAAAGGGCAGGAAAGGAGGUGAACGAAGAGGUGCCUAGAAGUGGAGGUGCAGAAAAAGACAUUCUAAAAGGUUAGAUAAAGAUUUAGCAGAGAGCCUUGCCCAUGGGGAGGGACACCAGCUGGCAGUCAGACCUAGGAUCUAGCCCCACCUCUACCAUAAACUACCUGAGUGAUCUUAGCAAAGUCACUGACCUGUCUAGGUCUCAAGUUCCCCAUAUAUUGAAUUAAAUGAGCUGCAGGGUCCCUACCUGCAUGAAUGAAUGUAAGUGUCCUGGCUAAGAAGCAGCCACAGGGACCGGAAGGAAAAUGAGGUCAAAGCAGGGUGAGGAGGGGACACUCACCCAGGUCCCCAAAGACAUACCGGUGGCCCAGAGGUUGCCCCGCGGGUGCACUCGGAUCUUGCUGGUUCGGCUGCGUGGCUCCGGGAGAUCCCAGCCGAGCGGGGCGGUGCCGGCAGCGAGCAGAGAAAAGAGCAGAAGGCCGGCGAGUAGCCGAGCGCCACCGGCCCGCCGGGUCAUAAUGUCCCCUGCCUCAGCUCCCCUCAGGCACGCUUUCCAGUUGCUCUAGUGGCCCGGCAGCUGCUCCGAGUGUCUCCGAGUCGCUCGGUUCGCUCCUUCCCUCCUUUUAAACCCGCGCUCCCGGGGGCGGAGCCUGCAGAGCCGGAGCAGGAGGCUGCCCACCCCGCGCGCGCUUCCACCCUCAGAGGCCCUCACCACCCUGCAACCCUUUGGCUGUUUUUACUCUGUAUCCGGGGCUCGUCACCCUUGGAACUCCACGGGACUGCGACCCCUCCGCAGAAGCCUGCACUUCCGCACUCCUGCUCCACACAUGGACACAGCUGCGGGGGGUUCUGGCCGCAGCCCACCACCUUCAGACUAAGCAAUCGGGCUCAGCGGCAAAACCCUCCCUCACCACGCCCACUCGGUCAAACUAGUUACUUCACCUAUCUGAGCCUCUCUUCAUAAGGGAGAAAGACGGGGGUGAGGAACCCUCCUCCCAUAAAACACGGGCACUUUUAACGCCCAGCAAAGGGUCAGGCCUUAGAGUAGCUCCAUAAAAUCCCCUUGGCCCCUCGCUGGGAAUCUGACCUGUGUUCACUGUGCUCUCCACCCCUCAAUGACACCACUCACCAGGAAAUCUGAAAUUGCCCAGGAGCUGGUCCUGGCACCCAAGCUCUGGAUGGGAAUGUGGAAUGGUUGGAUGGAGCUGCCACCCCCGUGGAGUGGAGAGAGCCUGGCCUAUCAGUUGGGCGGCAGGGAGAUCUCUGGGUCAGGGGAGUGGAAAGGGCAUGGAGCAGGAGUCCACAUACACCCUGUGUGACCUCAUUGAACCUCACUUUUUUCAACUGUAAAAUGGAAAUAACCACAUAUCCCUAUUUUAAAAUAAUUUUACAAUUUUUAGCCCAAUUGUUUUGUGGCAGGAGGCAGCAGUCCUAUAGGAUCUCCUUCUCACACUCCUCCCAAGGAGCUGUUGGGACCUGUCUUGAAAAGAAACAACUUUUGGAUCAGUGGUAUCACUUAAUGAGCAGGGGAAAAUUCUGUGCUCCUGUUUUGCUUAAACACUUAUACCAGUGUUCAGAGCACUACCCGAGGGACAGAAGGAGGGGAGACAAAAAAAUGACUCAAGGGAACAGGGUUAGGAUUAGGUUUAGGGUUUACUACCUCAUUAGAGAGACAGACUUAGUACCUAAAGGAGCAAAUGGUGAAGAAGGUGUAGACUGCAGACAAACCCCUGGGACUCUGGACCCCUCCCUGGAACACUGAACAGUGUGGGUGUGGAAGAACCUACUCUCCUAUUUGGCUCAAUAAUGGUACUUGCUAUUGUUACUCUCCCACAAGUCUAGCUCAGUAAGGCCAGAAAGCCAUAUAUAUCAGCACCCUGAAAGAAGUUUAUAUGAGAAGCUGACUGUCACAUCAAGCUCCCAGGAGCAUGCCACACAGAACAGGGACACUCCAUUUUCAGCUCUGGCUUCUCCCCCAAUCUCCUUGCUUUUCAUCCCCCGCCUUGGCAUUUACACCUCUCUGCUUUCUUGUCACUGCUUAGCCAUAGUGUACGGAUAUAGCUCUUAUCACUUUCCCGUAAUUAUUCUCUUUAUGAACCCCUCCCUCUCCUCUGCAUUCAUCACACACCCAUCCUAACUCCUCUUGUCCAUGGAUAUAGAAAUUAGUGCAAACACAUAAGAACUGGCAUUUAUUGAGUGCUGAACCUUGUUUAAUGCUUGAAGGGACCUUGCAAAGUAGGUUUAGCUCUCCUCAUUUUAUAGGUGAGGAAAGAGGCUCAGACACACUGAGUCACCUUCCUGGAUAUCUUACAGUAACACAGCGGGGAGUCAGACUUCAGGCCUGUUUGGACCACUGUAUCAGGCUCCCAAAGCCAUGCAGGGCAGAUACAGCUCCCCCGAAACCACUCACACUCCUGUUUUAACAUCCCAAGUUUAAACAUUAAUUUGGUUCAGAUUUCUCAGGGGGGAAGAGGAUGAAGGCAAUGCAUUUAGUUUUACUUCUCUUUGGCAGGUGAGCCUGGGACCUUGGGUUCUGCUCUGACAGAUUUAUUUAUACUUAAGCUAAGUCUUCUCUGAUAACAGCCUGGAUUCACAGCCACAACCACAGCUCCAAAAUUCACACCAGAUGCCCUAGGGAUCCUUUUAUCUGUCAGCGUAGUACAGGAAAAAUGCACUCUCUGAGGACCCUGGAGAAAGAGGCUCCAGGGUCAGUCACAAAACACUGUCUACAAAGAAGGGACCAAUAGGCAUGCCUCAGGGGGAGAAAGAGAGCACAUAAGGGAGGGUGGCUUGCCCAAGAGAGCACUUCCAAGUGCGAUCUCCCAGGGAGUAUUAAGUUCAGAGUUUAGAACAAGAGGACCUUAACUGCCAACUGUUUCCCAAGUUUACUCUGAAGGCAAAGGGAUGCCCAAAGGCCUCCAUCCCACUGGGAAAGAUUGACAGUGGUCAUAUGGAGGUGCCUGGGGGAGACUCUUCAGAGCUUAGUCUUGAAUGCUACCAAGAUUCUACAACACUCAAGGACAUACACAGAAAACACAGAGCAGAUUCAUAGGAAAAUCCAAAAAGAGACUAAAGGGAUGAAAGAUUUGCAACAAAUCUUGUUAUAAGCAACACCAACAAAACAUUUAAACUAUUCGAACCAUAUUUUUAAUUAAAAAUUGCUUGAAAUAAGGGAUAUAUAUGUGUGUAUUUGUGUGUAUAUAUAUAUACAUAUAAAAAGGAUUUGCCAUGAUAUUUUUCAUUAGAUUGGAAAUGAUUAUAAGGAACACCUCUUCAUAACUGCAUCUGUUAUUUUUUUUCCAAAAGCACUUUUACAUGGAUGCUCCUUUGAUCCUCAACAUUGCUUUGAUGCAGUAAAGACUAGUAUGAUGCCCAUUUUUAAAGAAAAAUUAACUCAAGUACCCAGCAAGUAAGUUGCAGAGAAGCUAAACCAAUUGAGAAAACCAGAGUGGGGACUUCAAAUACAUGAAAAGCACAGAGGAUAAAAGAGAAACAAAUUAAAGUAAAAGUCAGAAAUUUAAAUUAGACAAACAAAUCUAGUGAAAAGAAACAACAACAAACACUAGAGCUAUUCACAAUAGGAGGGUGUAAAAUACCUAUCCUGAUGAACCUUUGA
Long non-coding RNA from Choloepus didactylus (southern two-toed sloth), 4150 nucleotides. RefSeq lists it as uncharacterized. NCBI's taxonomy places the organism in Eukaryota, Metazoa, Chordata, Mammalia, Pilosa, Megalonychidae. The record is from RefSeq and is a predicted model, not a curated record. The transcript has 3 exons.